CCUACGGGAGGCAGCAGUAGGGAAUAUUGGACAAUGGGUGAGAGCCUGAUCCAGCCAUGCCGCGUGCAGGAAGAAGGCGUUAUGCGUUGUAAACUGCUUUUGCCAGGGGAUAAAACGGUUCUGCGGAACUAAUUGAAGGUACCUGGUGAAUAAGCCACGGCUAACUACGUGCCAGCAGCCGCGGUAAUACGUAGGUGGCAAGCGUUGUCCGGAUUUAUUGGGUUUAAAGGGUGCGUAGGCGGCCCUGUAAGUCAGUGCUGAAAUAUCCCGGCUUAACCGGGAGGGUGGCAUUGAUACUGCAGGGCUUGAGUACAGAUGAGGUAGGCGGAAUUGACGGUGUAGCGGUGAAAUGCGUAGAUAUCGGAAAGAACACCGAUGGCGAAGGCAGCCUCCUGGGCCAGUACUGACGCUCAUGCACGAAAGCGUGGGGAGCAAACAGGAUUAGAUACCCUGGUAGUCCACGCCCUAAACGAUGUCAACUAGUUGUUCGGUGAGGAGACUCAUUGAGUAACGCAGCUAACGCGUGAAGUUGACCGCCUGGGGAGUACGGCCGCAAGGUUAAAACUCAAAUGAAUUGACGG
This 581-nucleotide ribosomal RNA is filed under the name uncultured bacterium. RNAcentral describes it as "bacterial SSU rRNA". It matches the Rfam family "Bacterial small subunit ribosomal RNA", at positions 338 to 916 of the family's 1533-position model. The record is from RNAcentral.